AUGUGCGGAGCGCUUGCAGCGCAAACGUCCGCUCAGGUCACCGCAACUUGGGAUAGCCGAGACCCUCAGCGGGCCGCUAUAGGUAAUCAGCUAUGGCGGCAUUGACUCUAGCGGUAGCAAGUCUGCGAGGACCGUUGCAAGAGUGCCUGAUGCACAUAUAUUCAAGCGCAUGCUAAGCCGGGAAUAUGGCGCCUGGAGUCCGAACCAAGGUCACUCGAGUCUGCAGAAAGCCACUUGAAGCCCUGGUAAAGGCGGUCUGGCUUUUCCACCAGCUGCACGCGGAGUCUCGGCCGCAUUGAUCCUUCAGGGCACUCAUCACCGGAAAAGGAAAAAAAGAAGUCACACAAUGCUCGUGUUUACGAAGGUGGGCGCUUUAUCAGCGACUAGUGCUCGAAUGAGGACUGCAGAUGGUCAACGUGG
This 420-nucleotide long non-coding RNA is filed under the name Dermacentor andersoni. RNAcentral describes it as "uncharacterized LOC126535784". Lineage: Eukaryota; Metazoa; Arthropoda; Arachnida; Ixodida; Ixodidae. The record is from RNAcentral.